AACAGAUGACCCAACGUUGCCUAAGUUAGAACAUGCACCGCUGCUGCCCAGGCUCCAAUAAGGGCAGGGUUGGCGCGUGUGGGCUUCUCUAAAGGGAAACAUGGCCAGUAAUUUUAAAAUCCAUCCCCUCUUCAAUGAUAGCAAAUAUAAAAGCAACGGGCUGCAAGGUACACGUAUGUUUAAUGAAAAAUGGAGGGACGUGGUCACAUUAGAUGAAUCUGUACCUUGGGACCACCACACCGUUAAUAUAUAAGACUGGAUUACAAUUAAAGGAUGAGGAAGCUUUCUCAAAGGGUGCUUUGUAUGUGUUUACUAGUUGUGCAAACCAUGAACCUCGGUAAUGUGGUUAAUAGACCAUGAAAAGGAUGUGGUUUCUGCCCUCGGCUUAAAACAAAGACAGCAAUAAGACUAAAAGUACUUCAGGGCACAUGAGAGCAAAUUUCAAUCAAUACUUAUAGGAGAGGGAAGUUAAUUUUGCCUGAAGAGAAGAUCUGGCCUGCAUUAUGCAUUAAUUAGUAUUAGCUAAAAACUAUGUGGACCUAGCCCUUAUCAUUAAAAUAAAACACUCAAGGGUUUACAAACUAUUGAAAUUUAAGAAAAUGUCUUUGCAAUGAAUGCUACUAAGACUCACUGUUAUUAAGUACAUACAUAUCAAUUCCAUAAACUCAAUGGAAAACAUUUUACUGUGCUUGUAAAAAGAAGUGACUCAUAAACAGGAAUUCUGUCAUUUUAUCACUUUCAUGAUAGAAUGAUGUGUAGAAUUUGUUUUACAAUGCUCCAGAAAUAAAAUGUAGGGAAUGGAAAGAAGAUAGGUGAAAGAAAAGUGGUGCAACAUCAGUCAGUGUUGAAGCUAAGUUCAUUUUGCUACUUUACCUACUCAUGCAUAUGUUGGAAAAUUUACAAAAUGAAAAGCUAAAAGGAGAGAGAGCAUCUUCAGCAUGAAAGACAGCCAUUACCAAAGCAUUUCCUAUCUUUAACAAAAACUGAAGUCUUAGCCUUCAGACUAAGGAUGGUAGGAAGAAAGUAGCAAGGAAGUAUGGGACUGACCUUGCCGUAAGGAGUCACAGACCAGGGUGUCUCUCUUUUGGCCUGCUGCCAUCCGCGUAAGACAUGACUUACUCCUCCGUGCCUUCCACCAUGAUUGUGAGGCUUCCCCAGCCAUGAGGAACUGAUACCCAUCCCAUAGAUGUACUUGGGAUAGACAGCUUCUGGCACUCCUCCCAAGAUCUCUCCCUCCUGGUUACAAAAACCUGAGACUUCCAUUUUGCUGGAAACUUCUUUUCCUCUUGCACACUCACUCUGCGACUCUGUGUGGAGAGCUCCAUGUGACAAGGGAGGUCUGCAGCCUAAGCAACUGAGACCUCAGCCCAACAGCCCUCAAAGAACUGGAUCUUCAAACAACCACAUGAGUGACCUAGAAGCAAAUCUGUCACCAGUGCUCUUGAGACGGGCUGAAGUAUUUAAUCACCGGCACAAAAUGUCCCAGUGUUCUGUUCUCCUGCUGUGGAAAUUUUAGAGAAAAGAUCAUGAUCUAAGAGUCUACAAGACCAGAGCAGCCUGAAUUGCUGAGCUGCCUGGUGGAGAAUAGCAGCAUUGGGUGGUUCCCAGGAUUCUUAAAAGGACUUUACAAAGGAACAAGAGGUAGAAUGGAGAAUUUAAAUAGGACACAGUAAUAUUUCCUAGAACAGAUGGUAGAAGAAACCAUGAAUGAUGAAAAUACACUGAAUUGCAAAUAUAAAAGGCGGCAAGAAGCUUUUUCUUUCUUAUCCACAAGUAACACCUAGCAAUCCAGCUCAUAGGCCAUUGGCCAGAACUAAUCAUAAGACCUCGCCUAAAAGACCUGGCCUAAUCACUUAAGAGCUCUUAAGGAGUGAAUGGGCUCUUCCUGAAAAAAGAGCUUCUGCUAACCCUGAAAAGCAAGCAACAACCCUGUGAACUGCUAUGGAGAGAGAUGGCCUCUAACAGCUGAGGACCUCAGUCCUACAACCACAAGAAACUGAUUUCUGCCAACAACAUGAAUGAACUUGGAAAAGGCCCCUGAGCUCCAGAUGAGAACACCCAGGUCAACUCAGGUCAUGAGCAGAGAACCCUGUUAUAUUCUCCUUGGCUUGUGAUCCAUAAACAAUGAGAUUAUAGCCACUGAAGUUACACAUUCUCUCAAGGAUGGGAGAGAAGAGACUGAAGAAGACAAAACAGACUUCACUUCAGCAGCCAAGUGGAAAGCUGGGAACACACAGCCUAGGACAGAACUGUUUGAAUUA
RNAcentral lists this long non-coding RNA (2261 nucleotides) under Homo sapiens (human). Its description in RNAcentral is "long non-coding RNA NONHSAT188423.1". The record is from RNAcentral. Lineage: Eukaryota; Metazoa; Chordata; Mammalia; Primates; Hominidae.